RNAcentral lists this ribosomal RNA (497 nucleotides) under uncultured bacterium. RNAcentral's name for it is "partial 16S ribosomal RNA". It matches the Rfam family "Bacterial small subunit ribosomal RNA", at positions 28 to 507 of the family's 1533-position model. The record is from RNAcentral.
GAUGAACGCUGGCGGCGUGCCUAAUACAUGCAAGUCGAGCGAACAGACGAUGAUCUUGCUCCUCUGACGUUAGCGGCGGACGGGUGAGUAACACGUGGAUAACCUACCUAUAAUACUGGGAUAACUUCGGGAAACCGGAGCUAAUACCGGAUAAUAUAUUGAACCGCAUGGUUCAAUAGUGAAAGACGGUGUUGCUGUCACUUAUAGCUGCAUCCCCGCCGUAGUAGCUAGUUGGUAAGGUAACGGCUUACCAAGGCAACGAUGCGUAGCCGACCUGAGAGGGUGAUCGGCCACACUGGAGGUGAGACGCGGACCAGACUCCUACGAGACGGAGCAGUAGGGAAUCUUACGCAAUGGGCGAGAGUCUGACGGAGCAGCGCCGAGUGAGUUGUGGAGGUGUUCGGAUCGUAAUACUCUGUUAUUGGGGAAGAACAAAUGUGUAAGUAACUAUGCCCGUCUUGGCGGUAACUAAUCAGGAAGCAACGGCUAACUACGUG